RNAcentral lists this ribosomal RNA (489 nucleotides) under uncultured bacterium. Its description in RNAcentral is "bacterial LSU rRNA". It matches the Rfam family "Bacterial large subunit ribosomal RNA", at positions 23 to 559 of the family's 2925-position model. The record is from RNAcentral.
GGUGGAUGCCUUGGCGAUUACAGGCGAUGAAGGACGUGGUAGCCUGCGAUAAGCUUCGGGGAGCUGGCAAAUAAGCUUUGAUCCGGAGAUUUCCGAAUGGGGAAACCCACCGAAAGGUAUCGCAUACUGAAUACAUAGGUAUGCGAGGCGAACCGGGUGAACUGAAACAUCUCAGUAGCUCGAGGAAAAGACAUCAACCGAGAUUCCGAAAGUAGUGGCGAGCGAAAUCGGAGAAGCCUGCACGUUUUAGCAAUCAACUUAUCAGAACGGUCUGGAAAGUCCGGCCACAGCGGGUGAUAGCCCCGUAUGGAAAAAGUCGAUUGUGGAACUAAGCGUGCGACAAGUAGGGCGGGACACGUGUAAUCCUGUCUGAAGAUGGGGGGACCAUCCUCCAAGGCUAAAUACUCGUAAUCGACCGAUAGCGAACUAGUACCGUGAGGGAAAGGCGAAAAGAACCCCGGAGGGAGUGAAAUAGAAUCCUGAAACCGC